This 542-nucleotide long non-coding RNA is filed under the name Homo sapiens (human). RNAcentral's name for it is "non-protein coding lnc-WDR89-2:1". Lineage: Eukaryota; Metazoa; Chordata; Mammalia; Primates; Hominidae. The record is from RNAcentral.
CCAGAGGGAGAGCAAGAGUGCAUGAAAACGCUUUUUCUUCCCCACACAGUGCUAUGAAUGUGUGACUAAGCGCAGAGGAUUAGGUUGAGCGUCAAAAGUGAUGUUAAGUCUUUUAGUGUGGUUGACUGGGAUGGUGAAGCCACUAAAAGAGGGAACACAGAAGUUUUUGUGGACUUUGGGACACUUACAUUCAGGAGAAUCAAAGGGACUGAAAGAGAACUGGGAUGGAGGAGAAUUAGAGGAUGGUGUGGUGUUUCCCAAGACAUCCCCUGAUCUUGCUAUCCCAGCAUCUCCUAGACCUUCCCAAGAUCCAGCAACUAAAAGUAUAACACUUGUCACAAGAAGGCUAAGGUUGGCCUAUGUUCUAAUUGGGGGUGAUGUGGGGGUAAGAUGGGGAGUAUAUGGGAACACAAUCACAAACUAAAGCUUAUAUACUAACACUUUUUUGGGAAGUUCAAUGUCAAGGAAGUUGGAGUGAGCAGGAAAGGGAAGUGAGGCAGGAAGGGAGACAGCAAAUACAAGAGAGAACAUGAAGAUGUGAC